This is an RNA transcript of Cyclopterus lumpus (lumpfish), 3376 nucleotides long. It is a transcript of the gene named muscleblind-like splicing regulator 3, with no coding region annotated. Lineage: Eukaryota; Metazoa; Chordata; Actinopteri; Perciformes; Cyclopteridae. The record is from RefSeq and is a predicted model, not a curated record. The transcript is spliced from 9 exons.
UUUCCUUUCCCUUCACAUUAAUAACUGUCUGGGAAUCAUCAGUGUCGACCACACACGUGCCAGACUUCAAGGACACCGCUUUUUACAGUAUACUGUAGCAUGAUUCAUUUGAAGUUAGCCAAGUACUUUCUGCUCCGUGGCGCUCAGGGGAGUUGAAGUGACGUCUCUGUCCUGCCUGCAAUCUCCCUCCAUCCCCUCGCUCUUCCUCUCUCUCUUGUAUCACUUAAUCAAGACAUAGCUUGCCCUUUCCUGUUCAUUGCUGCCUCCCUCCCUCCCGUAUGCUCUGUUCCGCUAUUUGUUUGUCCUCGCUUUAUUCUCUUUGGCUCUUUCCCUUCCACGCUCCUGCCUCGUGGUUCUCCUCGCCCUUCGUUUAAACAAGCUCCACACAAGUCCACAGCAAGACAACAAGAAAGGACAUGCAGAAGAGAGGCAAGUGAGGAGGAUGACAACAGAAGAAUCGACAACGGCAAAGGAGGGAUGAGAAAGAGACUGAAAUAAGAGAAGGAAGUGGAACUCCAAAGUGCCUACUGCGAGGGGUCGUCUGCCGAUGUUAAGCUGCUGGAUGAGAGCAGGACGUGGCUCAGUGUGUGUUUGGCCUUGAAUGGAGGCUAUAUUUUAUCCUGACAGCCACAGAGUCAUCCAUCCCACGUUGCUGAGCUGCAGUCCCCACAUAGCGUGAGCUGAGCCGCCACCUCGUCUCAUCACUGCAAGGACACCAUCCCUAAAAGGUUCUGCUUUGGUUUCUGCUCUACGGAAGUCUUCUUUUUUUUUAGGCCGUUCAAACACAACUGCAGUGACUGCCCCAGCCCCGGCCAUGUUGACGUGAACGUACCAGUGACUUACGGCGGGCGUCAGUCGAUUCAGGUGAAGGCACCGACGCUCAGUGUCACAUGCCAGAGUGAUGUCCUCAGAGUAGCUCCUGUUUUUCCUUUUUUUCUUUUCUUCUUGGAGACAGAGCUGGCCUCUGCUCACAGUCUGCCACCUUUAUCUCAAACUUCAGCUGCCACUUUUCCCAGGAAGAACUAAUAAACAUUCCCUAAAAUACACCAACCAGAAGGACUCGCUGCCUAUUUGCACUGAGGAAAAAACAAGAAUAUUUUUGCUGGAUCACUAUUAGUCACCCUUGCUCCCAUCAGACUGUUUUCUGUCCAUCUGCCCUCAUCGCUGCUCAGUGUUUGUGAGCGACUCUGAUCACUGCUCAGUGUUUGUGAGCGACUCUGAUGGCUGUCAGCAUGACCAUGGGACGGGACACCAAAUGGCUGACCCUGGAAGUGUGUCGUGAGUUUCAGAGAGGCACCUGCUCGCGGUCUGAUGCUGAGUGCAAGUUUGCUCACCCCUCCCGGAGCUGCCAUGUGGAGAAUGGCCGAGUCAUCGCCUGCUUUGACUCACUCAAGGGGCGCUGCACCCGUGAGAACUGUAAAUACCUGCACCCACCGCCUCACCUGAAGACCCAGCUGGAGAUUAACGGGAGGAACAACCUGAUCCAGCAGAAGGCCACGGCAGCCAUGUUGGCUCAACAGAUGCAGUUCAUGCUGCCCGGAACACAGUUGCAGCCUAUUACAACAUUCCCAGUGUCGCCCUCCCUGGCAACAUGCCCCAGUAUGGCGUUCAGUCCCUAUCUGAGCCACAUGGGCACCGGCAUGGGCUUGAUGCCCGAGUUGCUGCCCAGUGCUCCCCUGCUGAUCCCUGGGAGUCCCACCGGCCUGGCAGCCAUGGGCAACGGCACCUCCGCACAAAAGCAUGUGCGCACAGACAAGCUGGAGGUUUGUCGAGAAUUCCAGCGGGGUAACUGCACGCGGGGUGAGAGCGACUGCCGCUACGCUCACCCCCUGGAGGCCGGCAUGGUGGACUGCAGCGAGAACUCUGUCAUCGUCUGCAUGGACUACAUUAAAGGGCGCUGCAGCCGAGACAAGUGCAAGUACUUCCAUCCGCCGGCUCACCUGCAGGCCAGGAUCAAGGCUGCACAGCACCAAGCAAGUCACAACACAGCGUCCGCAGGCUUGGCUCUGCCUCCAGGCGCCAUGCAGCCGCCACCAAAGAGGCCGAUCUUAGAGAAGAGCAACGGCGCUGCCAUCUUCAAUCACAACAUGUUCCACUACCAGCAAGCGCUGGCUAACAUGCAGCUCCAUCAGCCAGCCUUCAUCUCCACUGGAAAUCCUUUUGAGUUUUCGGACUCGUUGUACUGGAACGCGGGCAAUUCGGGUGUGAUGUCAUUCCGUGCUCCGACGUCUGAUUUCUGAGUUCCCAUGAUGCACGGUGCCACCACCUCCACUGUUUCUUCGGCUUCGACCCAAGUCACCAAUGUUCCUUUCGCUGAAUCUGCCGCCUCGAAUCAGUAGACCCCUCCGAGCUUCUGACUCCUGAUCCAGUGGAGCUCCAGUGUGUUCCCAUGGAAACCCAUUUCUGUCAAGUACCCAAACUGCUGGUGGCUGCUCCGAUGACCCUAAACUCAGUAAGCCUUUCCCAAAACCCCAGUUAAAGCCCCCGAAACCAUGCGCACUACCAGGGCGGUCAUCUUUUCUGAAUGCAGCAAAAAUGUGCCUCGCCUACAGCGCACACUGAAUGAGUGUGAAACUUCCUAUAAGAUGUUAUGAACGUAAGAAAGCUGCGGUGAUGCACGCGAUACAAGCCUGGACGUAUUACUGUUGCUUUAACGCAGCCAUCCUGAUACAUACUGACUUGGCUGAGCAAUAGAGAUCCCUCGUUCGUACAGACAUACAUGCCCACACCUUAAAAGGGCAGCAGACACACAAACACACACACACACACACAUUUAAGACUACAUGCCCUUUAUGGGAUGGAGCAAUCUCAUGAUGCGACCCAACACUUUUGAGUCAGAAAUCCUGAAAAGCUAAUUCUGGAAAUUGAGAGCAUUCGAGCGGGAUAUGGACCCUCUGCUGGUCUACAACCAGUACGUACCGUCCAAAUGAAAGAGUGUUUCAUACCAUGUCAUGUUUACGUUUCAAGAUGGCUACAAAUGUAACAUUUGUGUUGUACCAUGUAUACCAUUCAGUGUGUUCUCAUGGUCUCAUCUUGCCUGAUGAAACGCCAACGAGUUGUUGUUCAUUUGUUUGUGCCUUUGAUUUAUCUGCUCAGCUGCAGAGGAGACUUAGUUUCACAAAUGAUUCAAAACACUAACAGCAUACAUUAUUACAUGUUAUUUUCAAUUAAAGGCAAUAGCUGUUGUUACAUAAAUGUAUCAACUUAUAGCUCCUAUUGUAAGAAACUAGGAAUUACAGUGAUCGGUACUUCAAAUUGAUAUUGUUUUAUGAAUGUAAUUUGAAUCACAGUCAGUAUCUGCUACUGAUGGGAUAAUAGCAGAAAAUUAGACAAUACUUUUCAUGUAAUGCAACAAAAUUAAAGAACUACAAAUUGA